AGUGAACGCUGGCGGUAGGCCUAACACAUGCAAGUCGAACGGCAGCACAGUAAGAGCUUGCUCUUACGGGUGGCGAGUGGCGGACGGGUGAGGAAUACAUCGGAAUCUACUUUUUCGUGGGGGAUAACGUAGGGAAACUUACGCUAAUACCGCAUACGACCUACGGGUGAAAGCAGGGGAUCUUCGGACCUUGCGCGAUUGAAUGAGCCGAUGUCGGAUUAGCUAGUUGGCGGGGUAAAGGCCCACCAAGGCGACGAUCCGUAGCUGGUCUGAGAGGAUGAUCAGCCACACUGGAACUGAGACACGGUCCAGACUCCUACGGGAGGCAGCAGUGGGGAAUAUUGGACAAUGGGCGCAAGCCUGAUCCAGCCAUACCGCGUGGGUGAAGAAGGCCUUCGGGUUGUAAAGCCCUUUUGUUAGGAAAGAAAAACAGCAGGUUAAUACCCCGCUGUUCUGACGGUACCCAAAGAAUAAGCACCGGCUAACUUCGUG
This 492-nucleotide ribosomal RNA is filed under the name uncultured bacterium. RNAcentral describes it as "partial 16S ribosomal RNA". It matches the Rfam family "Bacterial small subunit ribosomal RNA", at positions 29 to 507 of the family's 1533-position model. The record is from RNAcentral.